GCAAGUCGAACGGAGGCCCUAGCUUGCUAGGUGUCCUUAGUGGCGCACGGGUGAGUAACACGUGGGAACAUACCUCAUAGUACGGAAUAACUGCGGGAAACUGUAGCUAAUACCGUAUACUCCAGUAAUGGGAAAGAUUUAUCGCUAUGAGAUUGGCCCGCGCAAGAUUAGCUUGUUGGUGAGGUAAUGGCUCACCAAGGCUCCGAUCUUUAGCUGGUUUGAGAGGACGAUCAGCCACACUGGGACUGAGACACGGCCCAGACUCCUACGGGAGGCAGCAGUAGGGAAUAUUGGACAAUGGGGGAAACCCUGAUCCAGCAAUGCAGCGUGAGUGACGAAGGCCUUAGGGUUGUAAAACUCUUUCAUCGGUGAGGAUAAUGACAGUAGCCGAAGAAGAAGGACCGGCUAAUUCCGUGCCAGCAGCCGCGGUAAUACGGAAGGUCCUAGCGUUGUUCGGAAUUACUGGGCGUAAAGCGCAUGUAGGCGGAACAAAAAGUUAGAAGUGAAAUCCCUGNGCUCAACCUAGGAAUUGCUUUUAAAACUUUUGUUCUGGAAU
RNAcentral lists this ribosomal RNA (556 nucleotides) under uncultured bacterium. RNAcentral describes it as "bacterial SSU rRNA". It matches the Rfam family "Bacterial small subunit ribosomal RNA", at positions 57 to 647 of the family's 1533-position model. The record is from RNAcentral.